GGCUGUAGCUCAGGGGGUAGAGCAUCAGCCUUGCAUGUAGAAGUUCUGAGGUUCAAGCCUCGGUGUCCCCG
Molecule: non-coding RNA, 71 nt
Organism: Podarcis lilfordi (Lilford's wall lizard)
Lineage: Eukaryota; Metazoa; Chordata; Lepidosauria; Squamata; Lacertidae
Source: the annotation of a GenBank genome assembly